This 832-nucleotide long non-coding RNA is filed under the name Phasianus colchicus (ring-necked pheasant). RNAcentral's name for it is "lncRNA (ENSPCLG00000016232.1)". Lineage: Eukaryota; Metazoa; Chordata; Aves; Galliformes; Phasianidae. The record is from RNAcentral.
UUUUUUUCCAAAAGAAUGAAACAUGUUUUAUCCAAACCAUUGUAUCCACAGGGGGAAAAGGGAAAGAAAGGCAAAAAGGGGCCUAAAGGGGAGAAAGGAGAACAGGGUGCUCCUGGAUUAGAUGCACCUUGCCCAUUGGGUCCUGAUGGAUUACCAAUGCCUGGCUGUUGGCAAAAGUGAUGAAUCUAACCUUACGAGCAUGAAGUUGUGUAUAUAGUGCUCCACUUUUUGUAUUUAUAGUUGAAAAUGGAAAAUUUGAUUUUACAAGUCUGAGAGAUGUUUACAUGUAGCUGCUUCUACUUGUUUGCAAUAGUCCAUGUGUAUAUCUUUUUUCACUUACAUCUGCAGUUAGAUGAUGUAUAACUGCAGGACAAACCUGCAAAGAUUGUCUCUCUAGAGAUAUCUAUACAGCGAUCAAUAACAUAAAUCUGAUUACUUCUGUAAAUUCUUAUAUUUUGGCUUGUGGACCUGCAUGGACAAUGAGUGCCAUGAACUAGUUUACAAGAAAUUGUGACCAAAUAAGAGCUAAAUGCUAUGAAAUGUACUGUACCAGCUGCCAUUGGAGUUUACUGACUUGGCUUCCAUGUCCGUCUUAAACGCUUCACUGAUUCAUGCCACUACAUCUGCUUCUACAGACUAAAAGCAUGAGUUUGUGUGCCAAACCUGCUUGUUGUGUGAUCACGUCACAUGCUAAAUGGCUGCUCACGGUGACCUUUGAUUCCAGCUUCUGAAUUGUUUCCUUUUGUCAUCUCAAGGGAGUCACACCAUGGCUUAUUGCUAAAAAGAGAUAAAGCAGAGGAGGAUAGAAAGAGGCCUUGAAUUUUUGGGGAAC